Molecule: long non-coding RNA, 462 nt
Filed under: Mytilus galloprovincialis (Mediterranean mussel)
Lineage: Eukaryota; Metazoa; Mollusca; Bivalvia; Mytilida; Mytilidae
Source: RNAcentral
GACAAAUAUGCUACAAACGGUUUAAAAAGGUUACUCCAAAUCAAAUAAUUGAAAUAUAAUUACCUUUCUGUGUAUAAAUGUGUGAAUUGAUUUCCUCUCGAUUUUCUACACGCUCGCUCUUGCCCUCUUGCGCACUCGUGGUAUUCAUCCGCAACAACAAUUUUUCGACACGUGAUUGAUAUUGAAGAUCGUUUGAUUAAUAUACAAAUAUUUCUAACGACAAAACAUUUUCAUAUUAUAAAUUUUGCAUUAAGAAAAAUUAAAAAAAACUGAGUAUCCAUUGAAAACAUGAAUUUAAAAGAAGCGAUACGGAAUUUUAUUCUGCACUAUAUAGGUCCGCGGGUCUAUAAUGUCGGUUAUUAUUCCAAAACUAAUUAUAUAUGCAUCUCUUUGAUCUUUGAAAAGUAGGCGAUGGCAAUACACCCGAGGCCCCUCAGGGGCCUCUGAUGUAAAAAAAAGAUG